Molecule: ribosomal RNA, 641 nt
Filed under: Oerskovia sp. I15A-00295
Lineage: Bacteria; Bacillati; Actinomycetota; Actinomycetes; Micrococcales; Cellulomonadaceae
Description: bacterial SSU rRNA
Rfam family: Bacterial small subunit ribosomal RNA
Source: RNAcentral
GUGGCGAACGGGUGAGUAACACGUGAGUAACCUGCCCCAGACUCCGGGAUAAGCCUUGGAAACGAGGUCUAAUACUGGAUAUGAGAUGCCCCUGCAUGGGGAGUGUCUGGAAAGAUUUAUCGGUCUGGGAUGGACUCGCGGCCUAUCAGCUUGUUGGUGGGGUAAUGGCCUACCAAGGCGACGACGGGUAGCCGGCCUGAGAGGGCGACCGGCCACACUGGGACUGAGACACGGCCCAGACUCCUACGGGAGGCAGCAGUGGGGAAUAUUGCACAAUGGGCGAAAGCCUGAUGCAGCGACGCCGCGUGAGGGAUGAAGGCCUUCGGGUUGUAAACCUCUUUCAGCAGGGAAGAAGCGCAAGUGACGGUACCUGCAGAAGAAGCGCCGGCUAACUACGUGCCAGCAGCCGCGGUAAUACGUAGGGCGCAAGCGUUGUCCGGAAUUAUUGGGCGUAAAGAGCUCGUAGGCGGUUUGUCGCGUCUGGUGUGAAAACUCAAGGCUCAACCUUGAGCUUGCAUCGGGUACGGGCAGACUAGAGUGCGGUAGGGGUGACUGGAAUUCCUGGUGUAGCGGUGGAAUGCGCAGAUAUCAGGAGGAACACCGAUGGCGAAGGCAGGUCACUGGGCCGCAACUGACGCUGA